UACGUAGGUGGCUAGCGUUGUCCGGAUUUACUGGGCGUAAAGAGCGCGCAGGCGGUCGUUCAAGUCGCGUGUGAAAGCCCCCGGCUCAACUGGGGAGGGUCACGCGAUACUGAUCGACUCGAAGGCAGGAGAGGGAAGUGGAAUUCCCGGUGUAGUGGUGAAAUGCGUAGAUAUCGGGAGGAACACCAGUGGCGAAGGCGACUUCCUGGCCUGUUCUUGACGCUGAGGCGCGAAAGCGUGGGUAGCAAACAGG
Molecule: ribosomal RNA, 253 nt
Filed under: uncultured bacterium
Lineage: Bacteria
Description: partial 16S ribosomal RNA
Rfam family: Bacterial small subunit ribosomal RNA
Source: RNAcentral